RNA transcript from Oncorhynchus masou masou (cherry salmon), 2036 nucleotides. It is a transcript of the gene named large ribosomal subunit protein mL45-like, with no coding region annotated. NCBI's taxonomy places the organism in Eukaryota, Metazoa, Chordata, Actinopteri, Salmoniformes, Salmonidae. The transcript has 5 exons. The record is from RefSeq and is a predicted model, not a curated record.
AACGUGUGUAGGAGCGCAGUAUGACGAGAAAUAGCGUCAUCGCGUUGAAGCGGAGGACCACUGAAACAAGGGGGUGUAUUCAACAUUUUUGGUUUUUAAUUUGUUUGUUUGUCAAUUGCUGUCACUUUUUUUCUCCAAAAAUAUAGCUAUAUGUUAUGUAAAAUUUUUGACAUAAAUCAUAAUUGAUAAUUAUAUGCUUUCUGUUUGUGGCAUUCCUUAUUAGUAGUAGUAGUAGAUAGUAGCAGAAAUAACAACAAUGAAUGAAAUAAUCUGCACUCUGAAAAUAAGUAAGAAUUUGCAUCAACAACAGGUUGUUUACCUUGUUAUGUUGUGAACGUUUUUAUGGUUGCCUAGUAGUGAGUGUGUGUAAAUCACUUAUGGAAACCAGUAGUCAGAGGGCUUAGCUACUCACAUGGCUCAUGUAGGUCAUUGCAGAUAUCUCUCUAUCAACUAUGUGUUGUUUGCUUAAGAAUCCUACUGCUGCCAAGAAGACGUGCACUGCCAUUGCAGGUGUUCGAAGUAGCUGCUGCUCAAGUCAUGAAAAAGCAACCAAUUUAAGAGACAAUUCCAUCACCUAAACGCAUGUAACUCUUUAUUAUCUGUGUCCAACGGCUAAGCAACUGGUAUUGUAGCCUGCAUCCAUAAGAGCCAAUUUAUGCUUGAUCCAAAAAUGUGGUCGGAUGUGUAUGGAUGGUGUGUUGCAGUUGCGAAGCCAAGCAUAAAUUGGCUCUCACCAUAAAUGCUGAAUGGUCUAUGCAGACGUUGGAAUGACCAUGUUGCACAGAAGGUUAAAUGUUGGGCCACACCUUGUAGACAAAUCUUAGAUUGUUGGUCUUCUGAUCUAUACAGCUUUGAUCUAUAAACCAACAAUAACUGAAAGCAGAUUCUCAAGAUAAAAAAAACUAAACAGUAAUAGUUUAUAUUAAAAUGCAGAGCAAGGUGGAAUAGCCAAAGUGACCCCCAAAACGUUUCCAGAAGAAUCGUAACAAGGCGCAGCACAGCACAGGUUUAUUGUUCUUGAACACACCUCAAACUGAGUCUGACAGCAAAUAUGGCGACGUCCAUGAGAAGGGCAUUAAUGCCUUUGCAUCGGAUGAGAUUCAGCAAUUUGAAGAAUGCAGAGGCUUCGCUGGAGGUACGGUAUCCCCUGCCCUUUGUUGUCCCGAUAAGGACCAAGAAGUGCUACUUCGUUCCCCCCGCAGUGGGGAUAAAAGGAAAGGCAGCAGCGUCGGCAGAUCAGGAGGCCAAAGCCAGAGCGGCAGGUGUUGUCCUAAGGCAGGAGUACAUGGAGAGAGACAUCAACAUCGCCCGCACUGCGGGAGUGUUUGACCCCUAUAUCCCCCCAGAAGGUGAUGCUCGUCUCUCCAGUCUGUCGAAAGAGGGCCUGAAACGGAGCACAGAGCAGAUCAGCUAGCCUCCCAGCUAGCGUGGGGCAGCAGGGUAGCCUAGUGGUUAGAGCGUUGGACUAGCAACCGAAAGGUUGCAAGUUCGAAUCCCCGAGCUGACAAGGAUACGCAAGAUCAAAGAGCAUGACGCUGAGUUCACCACAAUGGCAUUCCCAGUGAAAGCUCAGGAGAUCUUCGUUGACGCGCACAACGCUCUCACACAACUGUUAUGAUCCCUGGCCUGGAGCUCAAGCAAGGCGAGGAAUUCGAGGGGCUCAACUAUGAAGUGCCCAAGCCUAAGGCUGUGCAGUGGCACAAUUAGACCACAGGUGGGAGCUGUAAUUCUGGGCCAACACGUACAGACUCAAAAUCAACUGUUAAAAUGAACAUUCCAUUUUUUUAAAGAAAACAUCAUGAAGCUACAUUUAGUUUUCUGCCUUUUUAUAUAAAAAUGCACUGUUGUUCCUUACAUCUAAAACAAUAAUAAUCCAUAUUGUCCAGAUCUGUACAGAUUGUAUGGUUUAUUUCAAUGGUGAAUAUAUUCCAUGUUAAUUUAAAGAAUACAAAAAUAAAAUGUCCCAUCUCUUUUUUCAUACCUUUUUGAUUUCAGUGAAUGUACUUUUCAUAGGCAAAACAUACAAAAAUAACUGA